Molecule: long non-coding RNA, 814 nt
Organism: Drosophila sechellia
Lineage: Eukaryota; Metazoa; Arthropoda; Insecta; Diptera; Drosophilidae
Exons: 2
Source: RefSeq, a predicted model, not a curated record
UUGUUGUCCUCGUCCUGGUUGUUCUGGUUGUUGUACAGUUGCUUCACCACGCUAUCCAAGCCAUAUGAAUUUGGCAAGGGAUGCUGUUAAAAGGUCGUUCUCAUGUCCUUUCCCCUCUUACCUGUUUGGCAUCUAUGACCGCCUUCCCGCCGGACCGCUUGCCAUGAGCUGUGGAAUACAUAAACAUGAGUCACGACUCCUGGACCAGUUGUGAUGAACUGCUCGCGUCAGAGCUUAGCCGGCGAACCACUUACCUCCCCAACAGGAAUGUCCGUAUUCCAGGCAGGAACCUGAAAGUAUGCAACAUUUUUUCCAAUUUAGUAUAAAUCAUCAUCAGUUGCCGCAGCUCUAAGACUUUGUGCGCGAGUAAAUUUGCUAGAAACGCAGCCAGGUGUUUGAAAACCUACACAGCACAGCAGCGUAGCUUCGACCACACAGCGAGCCUAAGCCUGGGCUUUAAAACUUUCACUUUUUUUACGGUUCUAUAGUAAAAGCUACUUUCACCAGCAUCCCAUUGAUGCUGCUGCUACUUCGGCUGCUACUUGCCGUGUAAAAAGCACAAGUUUAUUGUGUGCGCUUGGCUGCUAAUGUCGCGACCCAUGAUAAAUGCGACCAUUAUGGAACUCAUAUGCCAAGUCGGAGUGGGUUGAGUAAUGCACUCGGCUUGGGCACUUCAAGGUGUAGCAGUCCUGCAUCCCAGCAGUUUAAAAAUUCAACAACACUGUGGGAAGAUACACCACAAAAUACAAUAAUAUAAUUCCUAUCUGAUUAUCUCUUAGGAACUUUAACAAAUAAAAAAUGUUCUUAUUAAGCA